AUUGCUUGACGAGAAUAAAAGUUAUCUGUUCUUAUCAGCUUAAUAUCUGAUAUAUGUACUUCCCAUAGAAAAGUCAGAAUAUUAACCUAAUUUUUAAAAACCGGUGGAAUUGGCCAGGCUCGCUCUUCUUCUGUCAUAGAUUGGCCCAGUAUUGCAGUGCCAUUGCCAAGCUGUGUUUU
RNAcentral lists this small nuclear RNA (179 nucleotides) under Melipona quadrifasciata. RNAcentral describes it as "U2 spliceosomal RNA". It matches the Rfam family "U2 spliceosomal RNA". Rfam says of the family: U2 is a small nuclear RNA (snRNA) component of the spliceosome (involved in pre-mRNA splicing). Complementary binding between U2 snRNA (in an area lying towards the 5' end but 3' to hairpin I) and the branchpoint sequence (BPS) of the intron results the bulging out of an unpaired adenosine, on the BPS, which initiates a nucleophilic attack at the intronic 5' splice site, thus starting the first of two transesterification reactions that mediate splicing. Lineage: Eukaryota; Metazoa; Arthropoda; Insecta; Hymenoptera; Apidae. The record is from Rfam by way of RNAcentral.